CCUACGGGAGGCAGCAGUAAGGAAUAUUGGUCAAUGGAGGCAACUCUGAACCAGCCAUGCCGCGUGCAGGAAGACUGCCCUAUGGGUUGUAAACUGCUUUUAUCCGGGAAUAAACCUGCUUACGUGUAAGUAGCUGAAUGUACCGGAAGAAUAAGGAUCGGCUAACUCCGUGCCAGCAGCCGCGGUAAUACGGAGGAUCCAAGCGUUAUCCGGAUUUAUGGGUUUAAAGGUGCGUAGGCGGCCUGUUAAGUCAGGGGUGAAAGACGGUAGCUCAACUAUCGCAGUGCCCUUGAUACUGAUGGGCUUGAAUGGACUAGAGGUAGGCGGAAUGAGACAAGUAGCGGUGAAAUGCAUAGAUAUGUCUCAGAACACCGAUUGCGAAGGCAGCUUACAUGGU
This 397-nucleotide ribosomal RNA is filed under the name uncultured bacterium. RNAcentral's name for it is "bacterial SSU rRNA". It matches the Rfam family "Bacterial small subunit ribosomal RNA", at positions 338 to 735 of the family's 1533-position model. The record is from RNAcentral.